GCGUGCUCCUUGUCGGGCAGAGGCUCAAGCCGGGCGUUCCUAUUGGCUAGCUGGGAGGAGGUGGAGAGCCCUGAACCCGCCAGCUUGUGCCUGUGAGAUAAGCAGCGCCCGCCGGGAAAUGUAGUCCUCUGGCUGAGGAGCGCUGUCACUCUGAGGCGUGAGACAGAGCCUCGCUAUUUGCUCUUGUUGUCCUGGAACUUACAAUGCAGACAAGGCUGGCCUUAAACCCACAGAGAUUUGCCUGCCUCUGCCUCCUGAAUGCUUGGAUUAAAGGUAUCUUGACUGCCGGGUCCUCCUGCAAGGAGAAUGAGAUGGAACUUGAGGGAGAACGGCCAAGAGUCUGAACUCCAGGAGAUCGAGAUGUAGGACUCUCAGCUCCUUCUCCAGCAUCAUGUCUGCCUGCACACCUCUAAACCUCUGAAACUGUGGAGAGAGUGUAGUUUCAAGUUUCCUGCUCAUGGGAAAGAAAGAAGAAUGCCCGAAGUCAAGCUAAGGCUGCCACCAGGAGCCAGAGCCCACACCUUCAUUUAGUGCUGACAUAAAACUUGACUGAGACAUUCACUAGUCAAAUACCCAUAAUGUAAAUGCUCCCAGUGGCAAGUAAUGCAUUUCCCUGAAUUUAAGCAUGAACAGAACUUCCUGUUCUCCAUUCAUCACUGAGUCACCCUGUAUUCCCAGGCCUUCCUGUAAUAAAAUAGCCAGCAUAUUGCAUUUGCCGGGAAUUUGCAAAGCACUGUCCAUACAUUAUAUGAUUUUUUUAAGUUUGGGAAAAAAGAAUAUGAUCAAAAUAUAUUUAUAUUUAAAUUUUCUUUUCAAUAAUAAAAAUAUAAGAAAAAAGAAAAAUGUUUUUAUAGUUGAUAUGG
RNAcentral lists this long non-coding RNA (863 nucleotides) under Cricetulus griseus (Chinese hamster). RNAcentral describes it as "lncRNA (ENSCGRG00015029278.1)". The record is from RNAcentral. Lineage: Eukaryota; Metazoa; Chordata; Mammalia; Rodentia; Cricetidae.